Molecule: non-coding RNA, 282 nt
Organism: Lepisosteus oculatus (spotted gar)
Lineage: Eukaryota; Metazoa; Chordata; Actinopteri; Semionotiformes; Lepisosteidae
Source: RefSeq, a predicted model, not a curated record
AGAACACUUACCUCCUCUUCAGCAAGAAACAUCUUAACCUCAGCCAUGUCUGAACAGGUUAAGACUUCAGCAGCAGACAAUAUGAGUGUGUUGCUGUUUGGUGUGGACAGCUCAGGAUCUGCCCAGAUGGGACGACCCCCAGUUGACUACAAUGAAAGUUAUUAUGACAAUGCGAAACGUGUUGGAAAUCUGAAAGGCUUCUCUCACAUCCUGUUCAGUCCAACUGGGACAAUGUUUGCCAUCCAUAAUGCAGACAUCUAUGCAGGGUCUCCUCCAGUGAAU